Molecule: ribosomal RNA, 497 nt
Filed under: uncultured bacterium
Lineage: Bacteria
Description: partial 16S ribosomal RNA
Rfam family: Bacterial small subunit ribosomal RNA
Source: RNAcentral
GAUGAACGCUGGCGGCGUGCCUAAUACAUGCAAGUCGAGCGAACGGACGAGAAGCUUGCUUCUCUGAUGUUAGAGGGGGACGGGUGAGUAACACGUGGAUAACCUACCUAUAAGACUGGGAUAACUUCGGGAAACCGUAGCUAAUAACGGAUAAUAUUUUGAACAGCAUGGUUCAAAAGUGAAAGACGGUCUUGCUGUCACUUAUAGCUGGAUCCGCGCUGCAUUAGCUAGUUGGUAAGGUAACGGCUUACCAAGGCAACGAUGCAUAGCCGACCUGAGAGGGUGAUCGGCCACACUGGAACUGAGACACGGUCCAGACUCCUACGGGAGGCAGCAGUAGGGAAUCUUCCGCAAUGGGCGAAAGCCUGACGGAGCAACGACGCGUGAGUGAUGAAGGUCUUCGGAUCGUAAAACUCUGUUAUUAGGGAAGAACAUAUGUGUAAGUAACUGUGCACAUCUUGACGUUACCUAAUCAGAAAGCCACGGCUAACUACGUG